CCUACGGGAGGCAGCAGUGGGGGAUAUUGCACAAUGGGGGGAACCCUGAUGCAGCGAAGCCGCGUGGGGGAAGAAGCGCCUCGGCGCGUAAAGCCCUGUCAGCAGGGGAGAAAAUGACGGUACCUGAAGAAGAAGCCACGGCUAACUACGUGCCAGGAGCCGAGGUAAUACGGAGGGGGCAAGCGUUAUACGGAGUUAGUGGGGGUUAAGGGGGCCCAGGCGGGGAUGCAAGCCCGGCGUGAAAGCCCGGGGCCCAACCCCGGGAGUGCGCUUGGAAAUGCGUGGCUGGAGUGCAGGAGGGGCAGGCGGAAUUCGUGGUGUAGCGGUGAAAUGCGUAGAUAUCAGGAGGAACUCCAGUGGCGAAGGCAGCCUGCUGGCCUGCAACUGACGUUGAGGCCCGAAAGCGUGGGGAGCGAACAGGAUUAGAUACCCUAGUAGUC
This 440-nucleotide ribosomal RNA is filed under the name uncultured bacterium. RNAcentral's name for it is "partial 16S ribosomal RNA". It matches the Rfam family "Bacterial small subunit ribosomal RNA", at positions 338 to 795 of the family's 1533-position model. The record is from RNAcentral.